Long non-coding RNA from Hirundo rustica (Barn swallow), 2557 nucleotides. RefSeq lists it as uncharacterized. The transcript is spliced from 3 exons. Lineage: Eukaryota; Metazoa; Chordata; Aves; Passeriformes; Hirundinidae. The record is from RefSeq and is a predicted model, not a curated record.
AAGUGCCACAUCCCAGACCAUCCCUGCCCGGGACAUCCUGGCAGAGCCUGUCCUCAGCCUGCAGUGGGGGCUCCCCAGGUCUCCAAGGAAGGAACCAUCUCCACAGAGUGCCACAGGCUGCCCCGUGCCAGGGGACAGCCCAGAAGCCGAGUCCCCAUCAGAGAAUUCUCUCCUGUACAGUUUCUGCAGAGGAACUGCACCUGAAGGGUUUUGCAGAGGACCCUCAGCGAAGCCGCUGUCAGAGGCAGGAUCCACGUGCCUUGGGGAGGUCCAGGGGUUGUAAAUAUCAGCACCUCCCUGCGCCAGGAAUCAUGGAAUCAUUAAAGCUGCAAAACACCUCCGAGAUGGAGAGAAACUACUGACAAGAGCCUGGAGGGACAGCUCACAGGGAAUGGCUCCCAGUGCCAGAGGGCAGGGCUGGAUGGGAGAUUGGGAAUCAGGAAUUGUUCCCUGGCAGGGUGCUGAGGCCCUGGCACAGGGUGCCCAGAGCAGCUGUGGCUGCCCCUGGAUCCCUGGCAGUGCCCAAGGCCAGGUUGGACACUGGGGCUGGGAGCAGCCUGGGACAGUGGGAGGUGUCCCUGCCAUGGCAGGGGUGGAAGGAGAUGAUCCUUGAGGUCACUCGCCAUCCAAACCAUUCCAUGAUUCCGUGAUUCUCUGCUCUGCCUUCACAUUCGUGCCAGGGAACCCCAGGCAGACCUGUGGCAAACCCAUCUCGUGGUGGCUCUCACAGCUCACCCAGUCGGUCUGGGAUGAUCCAUCAGGCAGGAAUCCCACCUCGAGGUGGGCCCUCCCUCCUUGUCAGCUCCUCUGCAGACCCACAGACCCGGUCCUUAAAGCUGCCAAUCUCCGGGAGCUCAUUUGCUUUGCUGGUUAAUCUUUAACUCUCCUUUGUGCCCGCAAUAAUAUCUGUUCUCACUGAUAACCCCUGCCUGAUCCCUGCGGGCUCUGCUCCCUAAUUAACUGAUGGAAAUUGCUGAUAUCCCUGGCACAAUAGCAGUGGCUAUCCAGCACUCUGCUACAGAAUUUUAGACUUUAUUGAAGUAUUUAUUCAAUCUUUUUUUAGCAAAGAAAGCAGGCACAGCCUCAUUCUCCAUUAGACAUUUCUGUGGGAGGGAAAUCAAUGCAGGAAAUUAUGUUUGGUUCAAAUAUUUACGCGGUGACAUCACUCAGGGUAGGGACAUUUCUCCAAAUUAAUCACGUUAGGUGAGCGAUGCACAAAGCCACAUCUGACCAUAAAAAUGGGAUACACAGAGCCAUGGAAUCAUGGAGUGGUUUGGAUUGGAAGGGACCUUAAACAACACAGAAUCAGAGAAUCAGAGAAUGGAAUUAUUGAGGCUGGCAAAUCCCUCCCAGCCCAGGCAGUGCCAGCUGUGCCCCGUGCCCACCUUGUCCCCAGCCCAGAGCACUGAGUGCCACCUCCAGGUGCCACCUGCAGGGAUGGGCACUGCAGAGCUCCCUGGGCAGCCCCUGCCAAGGCCUGAGCCCCCUUUCCAUGGGGAAAUUCCUGCUGCUGUCCGAGCUGAGCCUCCCCUGGCCCAGGCUGAGGCUCUGAUCACCGUGAGAAUUCACAGCUCUCAGGAGUUUUAUCUCCCCGGUCUGUGCAGUCAUUCCAGCUGGCACCAGGGGAAGAGUUUGCCCUUCAAUCUGUAAGAUAAUUUCUGCUGUCUUUCUGAGCUGUGUGACCCCAGCACGCCUGUGAGGCUCCACCAGCCGCUCGUGCCCUCCCGGCAGAGCCUCAGCCCAGCCCACGCCACGGCUGUUGUGUCACGUUUGGCUUCCUGCAGCUCUCUGCUGGUCCAGGACUGACCCGGUUUUUGCUCGGUGCACAGCUGGAUUCAUCAUGAUGGGACCAGCAGCAGCUGUUGGCCGUGAGAAUGUCGGCAGUGGGAGAAGAAAUUUUGUCCACUUUGUGAGUCUUGGACAGGCUGACGACAGCAAUGCUGGAGACCAGCACAGCACAGGAGUGGGAGGUGCAGCUGUGCAAGGCCCUGGUCCUCAGCGGUGGAGAAAUUCCAUUCCUCAGUGGGUGGAAUACAUCUCAUGGAGGGCAAAGCAGGGGAUUGGAAAUAAAACCCCCACAGCCCGUCCAGCAUCUGCAGCCCCUCGCUGUCUGCUGGACUGGGAGGCCCAGCCCCGGUGCCUGGACAUGGCAUCAGCAGUGUGGAAGUGCUGGGAAGCCAGUCCUGCAGAGCCGGAGGGCCCCAGCUCCCCCGGAGAUCCACCACCAACCACCUUCCUGCCAGGUCUCCUGCUUCCCACCAGGACCCCAGGCCCUUCUCCUCUUCUCCUUUCUGAUCAGAUAAUCCUCAUCUGGAAUAAAAGCACCGAUUAUAAUGAAAUUUAACCCAAAAUCUGUGAGACAGAUCUGCUCAGGCCCAAACAACAGCGCAGUCUGUCCUCAGGCACCGGUUAAUUCCUGCUAAUUAUGGUUAAUGACAACAAGGAGCUGUCGACUCAGCGGCGUGUUUGCAUUGUGUGGGAUUGCCUUUGGAAGCACACCACACAACAUCAGGAGCCGCAGGAAGAUGAUGGGUGCCCAACAGCCUCAGUCUGCAAU